Molecule: microRNA, 21 nt
Filed under: Chlamydomonas reinhardtii
Lineage: Eukaryota; Viridiplantae; Chlorophyta; Chlorophyceae; Chlamydomonadales; Chlamydomonadaceae
Description: cre-miR1142
Source: miRBase by way of RNAcentral
AAGGUGUGGAUGCGGCAUGGG